AAAAAGGCGUUUAAAACCGCCUCUACCGACCGCCGCUACAAAUUCUGACCUACCCGGCGGUAUGUAGCGGCGGUUUAAACCACCGUUACAUAUUAUAUGAAAAAAUUUCGGGUGAGAAAAGAAGCGUUUAAAACCGCCGCUACCGACCGCCGCAAACUAUUUGACCUACCCCGGCGGUCGUCAAAACCGCCGCUACAAUGUAGGGACGGUGGUAUUCACGGCGUUCUACCGGCGGUUAUAAAACCGCCGCUAAGUUUUGUAGGGGCGGUUUAAACCGCCGGUAAAGGUCAAGAAAACCGCCGCCAAAAGUCUCUUUUCCUGUAGUGCUUGGGAUGCAUUAUAAAGAAGCUGAUGCUUCUUCUUCUUUCUCCUUCAGCCCGAGCACACACCCACGCACGCAUGGAGUAGAGAGAGAAACACCUCUACCUCUCUCUAGAUAUCUCUCUCAUCUCUCUAAAUCUCUCUCUAAAAAUUGGAGGGUUGGUGGAGAAGAUGCUUGCGAACGCGUUGGAGGCGACGGAUCGGGCUUUCGUGCGGCCGUUGGAGCGGUGUGUUGUCGUCGCGGCGUUCACAUUGAGGUAAACUUUUAGGAUUUGGCUUAAUCCUUAGUUUUAAGUGUUCUAAUAGCCUCUAAUGAGCAUUCUAAACAUGUUUGCUCUAUUUGAUUUGGAUUAUUUAGAGAUUAAUUCAUAUUAGGGCUCAAAAAUGCAAACUUUCAAAAUAUGAGGGUUUGAUCUCAUUUGACCCUUCAUAAACCUAAUUGCUAGGUAACGAAACGCGUUGGCGAAGACGGAUCGGCAAUCCGACGAGCCGUUACAAAGUUAUUAAAGAAACGGACGUUUAGGCUUCGGGUCCGCCGGGAGGGCCGAGGCGACGUCGUAAAAUCAUGGAAAUGGAUUUGAAGCACCGUGGCACGUAACCGAGGACCUAUAAUUUUCGGGGCUGCGAAGCGGAGCACGGUUGAGGCGCAGUUGCGAUAUCGGGCCGUGCCGGAUACGGGUGCCGCGGGAGGCCGAUUGCAAGUGUCGACAAGCAAUCGGAACGCGAGUUAAGGUGGGUUGUGCUUACCGAAGCGACUAGGUCGCCCUUUAUGUCUAAGAGAAAUGUAAAUUCAUAUUGAUGCAUAUAAAUGGUAGAUGAAUGCAAGAGUUAAAUGCUAGGCGAAUGCAUGUUAAUUGCUAUGCUACGACUACCAUAGAAUGCAUGAUGAACAUAUUAUAGAAAUGCUAAAUAAUGCAUGUGAGCAUAUGGUAAAGAAUGCAUGUUAAUGACAUAAUGUAAAUAUGCUUGUUAAUACAUGUAUGAUGACAUGAUGAGAAUAUGCUAGAUUACAUGCAUAUUAACAUGUUGUAGAUCAUGUGAGAAAGAUUAUGCAUGUUGGCAUCACAUAAUGCAUGCUAGAUAAAAUGUUGAUAGUUAUGGAACUCGACAUGGACAAUUAGGAUGUCAAAUAGAUCGAGUGGCACUUAACCUAGUGUAUUAAACAUAGGUUAGACAUGAAUGACAAAGAACCUAGUGUAUAAAACAUAGGUUGGACAUGAAUGACAAUGAACCUAGUGUUAUUGAGCAUAGGUCGAGUGGCAUCUAACCUAGUGCUAAAGAACAUAGGUUAUGGAUUGAACCUAGAGUUAAGUAAACCUAGGUUAUGUGAUAGAGACGUUGAACCUAGAAUCAGUUGGACCUAGGGUGAAAAGGACGUGGACCUAGAUAGGUCAAUACUAUAGGGUUUGAAACCAACCCUUGAGUUAUGAAAUGGAUUCCGGAAUCCCUAGUGACAUGGCCGCACAUGGAGCGGUAGAAAUUGUGGUUAAAGAGAUGGCAAGCGAAUCAUAACUGCAGGUAUGUGUGGUUCUCCUCGCCUGGCAGUGAUUCAACGGGUAUGUGUGGUUCUCCUCGCUCGGGAUGCCAUCAGAAUAAGCUGGAAUUGGGUAUG
RNAcentral lists this long non-coding RNA (1933 nucleotides) under Ananas comosus (pineapple). RNAcentral's name for it is "long non-coding RNA (ACOM_LNC043620)". The record is from RNAcentral. Lineage: Eukaryota; Viridiplantae; Streptophyta; Magnoliopsida; Poales; Bromeliaceae.